This 69-nucleotide transfer RNA is filed under the name Mus minutoides (Southern African pygmy mouse). Its description in RNAcentral is "tRNA-Ser". The record is from RNAcentral. Lineage: Eukaryota; Metazoa; Chordata; Mammalia; Rodentia; Muridae.
GAGAAAGUCAUAUAGGAUAUGGGACUGGCUUGAAACCAGUUUWAGGGGGUUCGAUUCCUUCCUUUCUUA